RNAcentral lists this ribosomal RNA (861 nucleotides) under uncultured Clostridia bacterium. RNAcentral's name for it is "bacterial SSU rRNA". It matches the Rfam family "Bacterial small subunit ribosomal RNA", at positions 28 to 896 of the family's 1533-position model. The record is from RNAcentral. Lineage: Bacteria; Bacillati; Bacillota; Clostridia.
GAUUAACGCUGGCGGCGUGCAUAACACAUGCAAGUCGAACGAUGAAGCUUUUUUGAUUUCUUCGGAAUGAUUAAAAGUGGAUUAGUGGCGGACGGGUGAGUAACGCGUGAGUAACCUGCCUUAGAGAAGGGGAUAGCCUUUGGAAACGAAGAAUAAUACCCUAUGAAACCAUAACCUCGCAUGAGGCCUUGGUCAAAGAUUUAUCGCUCUAAGAUGGACUUGCGUCUGAUUAGUUAGUUGGUGGGGUAACGGCCUACCAAGACAGCGAUCAGUAGCCGGCUUGAGAGAGUGUACGGCCACAUUGGGACUGAGACACGGCCCAGACUCCUACGGGAGGCAGCAGUGGGGAAUUUUGCACAAUGGGGGAAACCCUGAUGCAGCGACGCCGCGUGAUUUAGAAGGCCUUCGGGUUGUAAAAAUCUUUUCUAUGGGAAGAAAAUGACAGUACCAUAGGAAUAAGGACCGGCUAAUUACGUGCCAGCAGCCGCGGUAAUACGUAAGGUCCGAGCGUUGUCCGGAAUCAUUGGGCGUAAAGGGUACGUAGGCGGGUAAGCAAGUUAGAAGUGAAAUCCUAUAGCUCAACUAUAGUAAGCUUUUAAAACUGCUCAUCUUGAGGUAUGGAAGGGAAAGUGGAAUUCCUAGUGUAGCGGUGAAAUGCGCAGAUAUUAGGAGGAAUACCGGUGGCGAAGGCGACUUUCUGGCCAUAACCUGACGCUGAGGUACGAAAGCGUGGGUAGCAAACAGGAUUAGAUACCCUGGUAGUCCACGCCGUAAACGAUGAGUGUUAGGUGUCUGGAGUAAAUCUGGGUGCCGCAGCUAACGCAUUAAACACUCCGCCUGGGGAGUACGCGCGCAAGCGUG